CGGGGGGGCAAGCGUUGUUCGGAAUUACUGGGCGUAAAGGGCUCGUAGGCGGCCAACUAAGUCAGACGUGAAAUCCCCAGGCUCAACCUGGGAACUGCGUCUGAUACUGAUUGGCUUGAAUUCGGGAGAGGGAUGCAGAAUUCCAGGUGUAGCGGUGAAAUGCGUAGAUAUCUGGAGGAAUACCGGUGGCGAAGGCGGCAUCCUGGACCGACAUUGACGCUGAGGAGCGAAAGCUAGGGGAGCAAACGGGAUUAGAUACCCCGGUAGUCCUAGCCCUAAACGAUGAAUGCUUGGUGUGACGGGUAUCGAUCCCUGUCGUGCCGAAGCUAACGCAUUAAGCAUUCCGCCUGGGGAGUACGGUCGCAAGGCUG
Molecule: ribosomal RNA, 371 nt
Filed under: uncultured organism
Description: bacterial SSU rRNA
Rfam family: Bacterial small subunit ribosomal RNA
Source: RNAcentral